Engraulis encrasicolus (European anchovy) is the source of this 190-nucleotide long non-coding RNA. RefSeq lists it as uncharacterized. The record is from RefSeq and is a predicted model, not a curated record. Lineage: Eukaryota; Metazoa; Chordata; Actinopteri; Clupeiformes; Engraulidae. The transcript has 2 exons.
ACAGCAGUGGAGUGAAGGUCUCCAUAGAGAUCUCAGACUCCCAGGAACCGGUCACGUUCACAUGCGAUGUGAGUUCCCCAGUGGAGCUGCUGAUCAUGCAGGCCCUGUGUUGGGUGCAUGACGACCUGAGCCAGGUGGACAUCAGCAGCUACGUCCUCAAGGUCUGCGGACGAGAAGAAGUACUGCAGAA